GCCUUUUGCUGGGACGCUGGCGUGGUACCUGAUGCUGGGAAAGAAUUUACCCAUUUUAAGUCUUUAUGCUGCUCAAUAGAAGAAGUUCAGUGAAAGAAGUAACAAGAAAGUACAGAAGAAAUGCAAGGAAAACUAGUUUAAGACAUUUAGUUAUAAAGGAAAAUUGGACAGUGCGGAGACUAAUGAAGCAAAAGGAGUCAAAAGUUGUUAAAAGGUGGAGCAUUCUCUCUCAAGCCAAGGAGUUCUAAGCAUUCUGAAAAAAAAAGAAGAUGAAAGUGAUGACAUUGUGAAUAACUGAAUGACUGGAUGGUAAAUUAAUCUUGCAAGUUCAGAUCGGAUAAAACCUUAGUAUUGUUCAGAUUCUGAAGACAUCACUUACAUUAAUACAAAUGAAAUUUUUGAUGUUAUAACACUGCUCAUAUCAUUGAUAGGGAGUGAAACUUUUGAUAAUGAUUGUCCAAAAUGUUAAAAUGAUGUAAAGGGGCAUUUAGAUGGACUUUGUGCACUGGAAUACGAAGACAGAGGAGAUAGUAAAGUCUGCAAAAGUUCUAACCAUUAUGGGUUAUAUGCAGUGAUAGUACAUGGAGGAGUGUCAAGAAAGCAAUCUAGGCUCUUAACAUUCUUUUACAUAAAACCAGUGAGAAGGCACCUGAGAAUUGCAAGUUUGAGGAGAAUUGUAAAAUGGCAUUUCACAUCAAGGAUAAUGAAGGCAGGCAUGAAUACAAAGGACUGGACAGAAGAUAUCUUACAUCUUCAAAAUAACAGAGAAAACAUGCGAGUACAACCAUACCAUGAAUUUGAUGGAUUGUUUUUAAAGGAUACAGCACUUACAUGGAAAAAGUCACUGAAGGUAUUUUGAGAUGUGACCUUGAAGCAGUUUGACAUCUUUGUGCAUGGCUGCAAAAAUGGCUGUUUCUUCCAACUGUUGUCAGUAGUAAACCUGAUCGAGGAAGUUGUCACAAUGUCCAGUUAUAUUUAGUAUUUCUCACCGAAAACUGAAACCAGUCCAUUGUUACACCAAAAACUAUUACAGCCUGUUCUCCAACAAUGUUUUAAUCAGUGGAGUCUUAUUUCAGUUGUUGAACGAAAAUGCAACUGAGGAGCAUUAUAAAAAUCUGACAGUAGACAAUGAAAGCUAAGGAGCAAUUGCCACUUUUCAGAAAGAAGGUAAAAUGAAUGUUGUUUCUCAAAAAGUUUGAAUAAGAAAUAGCAAAUCAAAAGUGAAAAAUGGAACAGCAAAAUGUGGAGAAGGUUUAGAAACAGCACGCAUACAGAAAGAUUCUUUCACUCAAAACUUAUUAGAUGAGGAAAUACAGGAAAUGGAAAUUAUAUCAAACACGUAUGCAUUGGAAAGCUCAGAUUCUUUAGCAUUGUUAAAAAUGAAAUGGGUGGUUUUGGUUAUACACAGUUUUAGAAAAACGGGUGUGAAAACAAAUGGAAAAAGAGUACCUUGGACUACAGAUCAAGGUUGAUGAUGUAAAUGAUGGAAGUGUUGAUCAUACUAAUACUAAAUAUAUGCUUAGAAUUCAUGAUUUGUACAAAGAAUUGGUACCAACUAUAUCUGAUUUCAGACAUACAGUCUGUAAUUAUGUUGAACAUUCUUUCACAUAAAGUAGUUGAGCAAGAACUGAUCUUUGCAGAUGUAGGAUCAGGCAUUGAACAGACAGUAUGCAAGAACAAAAGCCUAUGAAACAAAGAAUGUAACCAAGAAGAAUAAUAGCCGAUUCGGUUUGAUAAACCUGAAUAAGUGCAUUUUGUACGCAGGUCCAAAUGUUCCAGGUGAAAGGUGUUAAUCAUGUGUCAGAAAAGAGAAAGAAGAUGAAUUAACAAAGAAAUAGAAACAAAGGAUAGAUAAAGAUCCAUCUUGUAAAGGUCAAGAUCUUAAAGAAGCAGUGGAACCAGGACCAAAAUUUGCUUUCUUUCUCGAAAGUAAAUAUAAAUGAGAAGUUAUUGGUAGAAAAAUUUAAAAUAUGUUAGAUAAACUCGAGAAAUGUCGUUGCAAUGAAAGUUUGAAACAUAUUUGAUCUACAGAUAUUGUAGGAUUUUUCUGCAUUGAUGCAUUGAAUGUAAAGAUUUUAAGUGGAAAAGUUUUAAACUUGAACAGGAGAGACUGCUAUACAUAUAUAAUGUUGAUGUGAGAAGAAUUCUUCAGGAUGGACAGUACAUUGACAACUUUCAGCAGGAAAUAUUUUCAUUUUUGGAACGAACUUGUAAGAAGUAAGUGAAAAAUAUUGCAGAACAGCAGCUGUAGGUCUCCAAUUUUAGAAAAAGAGGUAAGUUUGUAGAUAUAUAGAUAGAAUGCGGUUAUUUUAGUAUGGAUCAAAGUAUCUUUCACAGACUUGAAAACAUCAGUCAGCAUGGUGUUCACAAGUGAAUGAUAAGUUGAUCUUUGUUAUAAAUAAGUAUAUGUUAGUUAUAUGUGAAAUACAAUGUAGUUUAAUUUCAUGGGCACAAAAUUUCAGGAUUUUUGCUAAUUUAAAAGCAGAUAUUUUGGGUCUUAUGACUUUGUGGAUUUCAACUUUUGCACAUAGAAUUAACAGGAAAUUUACAUGACUGAGAUUUUAAUUUGUAGAUUGUCUCAACUGUGAAAUCCACAAAAAUAGGCCCCUAUGUUUACUGAUGAUUUUCAAAAUCUACGAAAAUAUUCCCCCAUAUAAUAUGGAAGAUGCAACUAUUGUCUUUUCAAUGUUUUGAAAAAAAGUGUUUACCACAUUUUGAUAAACGAUUGAAAAGUAUCUAAUAAUAAUAGUUUAAGACACUAUAACUUGAAGUCUCUUAAAUAAUACAUAAAUUCACACCAUGCACACUGGACUUGUUCUGAAAUUGAAUACUUGUAUUGUGGAUGUGUUAAGGCGUAAAAAAGAUGUUUGUAACUUGUAAAAUAAAUGCGAAUAAAGGGGUUAUAAUGCCUUUAGAGCUUACUUUAAGUAAGUUGAUUUCUAACAAUUCUGACCAUUUUUUCAGCAUUAAAAGUGCAGUUCUGUAACAUUUUGUUAAAAAAUUGGAAAAGAAAUUCUUCAAGGCAAACAUGAUAAAAGCAUUAAGGGUCUGGCCAAAAGUUUAGGGUAGCUUGAAAUACCUGGUACAAACAAUUUUUUAGGCCUUAAUUAACAGUUUAAUAUUUGUCAGUUGUGUGAAAUUGAAAUAUGUUUGAAACAUUGCUAUAUUGUGUAGACUUAAGCUUGUUUUACAGAACCUGGUGUACUUGAAAGUUUUACAUCUUGUUUACCGGGUAUUAUGUAGUAGAUUCUAUAAAAGUUUUUAACACUGUUAAAUACAUAAUAGUAUACUAUACUGUUACUGUUGUAGACAUAUGCUCAGUACUUCUAGAAACUAAACAGUUUCACCCUUGAUGUUUUCUUACUAUCAUUGUACAUGUUUAUUUGAAUUUUGUGCAGUAGUAUUGUAAAAUCAUGUAGAAAUCUAAAAACAGUCAAGUAAAUGUAGUUUUCUUGUCAAUUAUCAUUGACAUUGACCAAGUGUUGCUGUUGUGUUUCUUGAUGUACUUUGUAUAUGAUAAUAUUCCAAAAAUAGGCUGUAUAUUAUACCUAAUAUGUCGUUUUGGGAUUAGGACUAGGCAGGUUGUUUUCACUUAAAAUAUUUGCAUUGAGAUGUGGGCUAGGAAUGACCAUGCUCAAGUACAUUUGCACAAAAACCUUAAUAUAGUUUUGCUGUAUUGGUACUUUAUAUUCUUGACUUGGUUCGAAAUUUUAAUUGUUAGAAUAUUUUCAGCAAAUUUAAGUUUAAAUCAGUUUUGGAAUACUGUUGUCAGAAAAGUUAAAAAAAAACUGUAGGUUGUACAUUUAUUGUGGUUCAGUUGCUAUGGAAAUAAGAAAAGUUUUAGCUCAACAAGAGAAAUAUAACAGUUUGCAUAUAUAUGCUGGACCUAAUUUUCUUAUAUAGAUAUGAUAGAUAUGGCAGAGCUUCAGAAAAGAGUUGAUAAUGUACAGCAGUAGGCACAACCAGGUUUUAUGAAAAGAGUUAGUUGAUGAACUUGAGCUUUCAAGUUUAUCAAGUUCUUAAUUAAUGGUUACAGGUAUAAUAGCCAUUGUGACUAUUUUAAGUUAUACUUGUUCUAAAUUACAGAAAAGGUUUUUAAAUUAGUGCUUCCAUUUGAUCUUGCACACCAAAUACAGAUUUAUUUCUGAUGUCCACACUGGACAAGUUGACUCUUCAGUAAUCCAGAUUUUUGAGAUAUCCAAACAUAAGAAGUGUAUGGAAAAUGGACGGGGACUACACUGUUACUUCAGUCCUUUCCUGCAUGUUGUAGACUGAUAUUGUAACACACAUAUACCAGAGAAGUUAAUUUAAAAAAGAUAAUGUAUAUAGAAUUCAUUUAAAAGGUUUGCUUUGUGAGAUGAAAAUGAUUCUUUCAAGAGCAAAAUACUAAGCUCCACUUGCUCCAUCACAUUUAAAACAAUUUAACCUUAGAUAUUGUAUCAACUCAUUUACCUCUUCACAAUUUCUUAUGGCCUAAAGCAAAAUAAGCGUGACAUUUUGUAAAAAAAUAAAGUUCUUGCAAAUGUAAAUAACUGAGUUGUUUCUAGUGGGCGAAACUUCAAAUUUUAUCAAACAAAUACUGUUUUAUAGAAAACUUUGCAUUUGUCUUAAAAAAUGCCUAUGACUGACAGAAAAUCUUUGAGAAAUUAAAAAGUGUGUUGAAAAUUACACAAAACUCUAGGACUGAAAUAGAAAUGUGUAUCAGUACCUUUCUGAAUUUUGAGUUAGAUUGGAUGUAGAGGAUGAAAUAUACAUAUAUUUUCUGCACGAAUAACAUCCAAAUAUCAAAAUAAUUGGUAAAAUAAGGAUAAAAUGAAAGCAUAAAAAGAGUAUUGACCAUGUUCAAUUUUCUAACAAGUUGAAACAAUAACUUUUCUUAACAAAAACACAUUUAUCAUAUAUUACAAUGCCAUUAAAGCAAAUAAUCAAAAUUUGAUAAACAUACCUUGAGUGGUUUUUGAGAUAUGAUGUGAAAAAUUAAGUCAUUAUUUUUGGUUCAAACUGUGACUGUUGGGACAAUACAUUAGAUAUUACAGAACAGAACAGAACAGAACAGAACAGAGAAUUUAUUAGUCGAAUGCAUAAUACAGAAUGCAUACAAUGCAGUUAUUUGUGAAAUUGAGCAAAAUUCUUGUUUUUUAAUGCAUUUUCACAAUGUCUGUGCUAUAUGUCAGGAAAUGAGAAUAAUCUAGUAUCUCACUCAUUGAAAAAAAAAAUGCAGUAUUCUGUUCGAUUUCGUUUUUAAUAUGUGUGCAUUUUAUAGUAUUUAAUCAAAUGUACUUAGUGCCAACAUUUACCAUUUUUAUGAAAGCUGAAAAUAAAAGUAGUAAGAAAUAAUUAUAUACGAAUCUUUCUUCUGUUUUGUCUAAAAAUUAUAAAGGAAUUAAUUAAAUAUAUAAAUGUGACUGUUGGGACAUGUUCCUGUGCGAAUUAGACCUUCCUUAUUUUGUGCAUAUUUCUGCAUAUUUUAUUGCAAUAUAAUAUUAAAACAAUAACAAUUGUUUUGGCAUCAUAUUGACCACAUAGUAUUUCAUACUAUAAGAACUAAAUGCCUUAAAGCACUAACCAAUGACAAAUGAUAUUUCAUAAAAAAAAUAAACAAAAAUACAUUUCAUAAUAAUAAUAAUGUAAGAAUACCAAAUUUAACAGUUUGAAACUUAACUUUUAUCAGAACAGUUUAAAACAAACAUCUGUACAUGGGAAAGCUACAUUAAGUACUUAAAUUAGUUUUUUGCAUAAUUACAAAACCGUGACUGUUGGGACACAUUACUACAUGUGUAUUAAUACUAAUGCAUAUUGCAUAAAUAACGGACUUAGCCUUGCCACAGAUUAAAGCAGUAUGUUGAAAGUGUUUGCCUGGCAUGAUAUACAUAGUUUUAUAUCUAACCCUGGAGACUUUGAUUUACAAGUAUGGAAACAAAUGACUAGAAAGCGACAUUUAACCAACUAACAGAAACUUAUUAAUGAACACACUAGGGUAACUAAAGAAAAACCUAUAAUAUGGCUUUUUGAGCUAAACAAGGUUUUUAUUUGAUCUGACAUAAAGGCCUAGUUUUUUUUUUUAGUUUUUUCUACCUCAGGUUACCCAGUGUUUAAGAAGAUUAAAUUGAAAAUGUGGCCUCUAGAGUGUUAACAAGGUUUUUCUAUGAUUUAAGUUAGUGAUCUAGUUUUUGACCUCUGGUAACGCUUUUAAUUUUGACCUAGGUUACAUGGAGACAAACAUUCCGACAAAGUUUUAGGACGAAACCUAAAAUGUGGCCUCUAGAGUGUUAACAAGGUUUUUAUAUGAUUUUAUCUAGAGUGUUGCCACAUUUUUUCUAUGACUUGACCUAGCAAACUAGUCUUUGACCUCAGGUUAUCCAAAUUCAGAAUUUACCUAGGGUGUCAACAGUCAGAUUGUUGAGAAGCACAAUGACAGACUUUGGGUGAUCCCAAUAGCUCACAUUGUGCUAAGGUGAGCUAAAGAUCAGACAAACAGAAGUUACUAAAUGGCAACUCACUACAAAGAAGAUUGUAAAAGACAGACAUAGGAUUGUGUGCAAAUCUAUUUGCAUCCGGGCAGUUUCAGAGCUUAGACUUGAGAGACAAAUUAGCCUCUUGUUCAGGCUUAAUUCUUUUAUUUGUCUUGAUUGUAGUUUUGAAAUUACUCACUCUUUAGUACCAUGCUCGGUAAAACAAAUCCUAAUUUUGCUUUUAUAUACUGGUAGACAUAUAACAAUUACUCAUUGAAUAACCUGUCCACUUGUUUAAGUUUUAUCUAUAUACACAUGUACAUGUAUGUAUUAUGAUGACAGAUCACAUAAUUUGUUUUAUCCAUUCAUGAAAUAAAGCUGAUUUGUGAAUAAAAACUUUUACAAACAGUA
Long non-coding RNA from Mercenaria mercenaria, 6863 nucleotides. RefSeq lists it as uncharacterized. The record is from RefSeq and is a predicted model, not a curated record. The transcript is spliced from 4 exons. NCBI's taxonomy places the organism in Eukaryota, Metazoa, Mollusca, Bivalvia, Venerida, Veneridae.